AUUGAACGCUGGCGGCAUGCCUUACACAUGCAAGUCGAACGGUAACAGGUCUUCGGAUGCUGACGAGUGGCGAACGGGUGAGUAAUACAUCGGAACGUGCCUAGUAGUGGGGGAUAACUACUCGAAAGAGUGGCUAAUACCGCAUGAGAUCUACGGAUGAAAGCAGGGGAUCGCAAGACCUUGUGCUACUAGAGCGGCCGAUGGCAGAUUAGGUAGUUGGUGGGAUAAAAGCUUACCAAGCCGACGAUCUGUAGCUGGUCGGAGAGGACGAUCAGCCACACUGGGACUGGGACACGGCCCAGACUCCUACGGGAGGCAGCAGUGGGGAAUUUUGGACAAUGGGCGCAAGCCUGAUCCAGCAAUGCCGCGUGCAGGAAGAAGGCCUUCGGGUUGUAAACUGCUUUUGUCAGGGAAGAAAUCUUCUGGGCUAAUACCCCGGGAGGAUGACGGUACCUGAAGAAUAAGCACCGGCUAACUACGUGCCAGCCGCCGCUGUAA
RNAcentral lists this ribosomal RNA (498 nucleotides) under uncultured bacterium. RNAcentral describes it as "partial 16S ribosomal RNA". It matches the Rfam family "Bacterial small subunit ribosomal RNA", at positions 30 to 523 of the family's 1533-position model. The record is from RNAcentral.